GAUCUGGCUCAGGAUGAACGCUGGCGGCGUGCUUAACACAUGCAAGUCGAACGGGAAUUACUUUAUUGAAACUUCGGUCGAUUUAAUUUAAUUCUAGUGGCGGACGGGUGAGUAACGCGUGGGUAACCUGCCUUAUACAGGGGGAUAACAGUCAGAAAUGGCUGCUAAUACCGCAUAAGCGCACAGAGCUGCAUGGCUCGGUGUGAAAAACUCCGGUGGUAUAAGAUGGACCCGCGUUGGAUUAG
This 245-nucleotide ribosomal RNA is filed under the name uncultured bacterium. RNAcentral's name for it is "partial 16S ribosomal RNA". It matches the Rfam family "Bacterial small subunit ribosomal RNA", at positions 15 to 244 of the family's 1533-position model. The record is from RNAcentral.